CGGAAUACUCAUGUGGCCCGCAGUGACAGGCACGCCGGGAGCAUUACUCAUUUUGGUCCCGGUGGGCGACAUGGCGUUCGGCAACCUCGGCGACUGAUAUAGAGACAUCAGUCUCCAGGGUUUGAGUAGUGGAAACACUGUGACAAGUGUGGCUCGGUCCCUGGAUUCCCUCCCAGCCUCUCUUAGACAGUUCCAGCUUCACAGCCACACGGCACCACACCUCAAACCGGGAAGAAUGCCCCUAUGCCCUGGGACGUGGCCUCGUACCGCGUUAUCCAUCUUCCAGACGGAGAUGUCACCUUCUGGAGUGCUUCAGACAGCUCUGGAGUGAGGACGUGAUGACAGGAGGUGGCCUUUCCGUUUUCAUAUUGUUCCUCCGGAGUCUGCUUCCAAAGGACCCGGGUUUUUCUUUCCCUUCUGAGACAACUUAGGAUUGUCCGUGUUAAUAAACAUUCCAAAAACAUA
Non-coding RNA from Lepisosteus oculatus (spotted gar), 465 nucleotides. Lineage: Eukaryota; Metazoa; Chordata; Actinopteri; Semionotiformes; Lepisosteidae. The record is from RefSeq and is a predicted model, not a curated record.